RNAcentral lists this unclassified non-coding RNA (190 nucleotides) under Glomeromycotina sp. RNAcentral's name for it is "partial contains 5.8S ribosomal RNA and internal transcribed spacer 2". The stretch from base 1 to 71 matches the Rfam family "5.8S ribosomal RNA", at positions 84 to 154 of the family's 154-position model. Lineage: Eukaryota; Fungi; Glomeromycota. The record is from RNAcentral.
GUGAAUCAUCAAAUCUUUGAACGCAAAUUGCACUCGCUGGUAUUCCGGAGAGUAUGCCGGUUUGAGGGUCAGUAUAAAUCAAAAUCGGUGUGGCUGCUGCUUUUCGAGCUGACGAACCGGAUUUGGGUCGCCACGCCUUCGGCUAAGUACACUAAAAUUUUGCAUGCUGCUUUUCGUACGUAUUUACAUG